UGGCUCAGGACGAACGCUGGCGGCGUGCUUAACACAUGCAAGUCGAACGGGAGUAUUGAAGAAGCUUGCUUAGAGAUACUUUAGUGGCGGACGGGUGAGUAACGCGUGAGGAGCUGUCCUAUGCAGGGGGACAACAGCUGGAAACGGCUGCUAAUACCCCAUAAGCCGAGAGGUAAAAGGAUCAAUCCGGCAGAGGAGGUACUCGCGUCCUAUCAGCUAGUAGGUGAGGUAACGGCUCACCUAGGCGAAGACGGGUAGCCGGCCUGAGAGGGCGAACGGCCACACUGGAACUGAGAUACGGUCCAGACUCCUACGGGAGGCAGCAGUGGGGAAUAUUGGGCAAUGGGGGGAAAAACCCCCUGACCCAGCGACGCCGCGUGGGUGAAGAAAUCCUUCGGGAUGUAAAGCCCUGUUGUAUGGGAAGAGCGGAAGACGGUACCAUACGAGGAAGCCCCGGCAAACUACGUGCCAGCAGCCGC
RNAcentral lists this ribosomal RNA (479 nucleotides) under uncultured bacterium. RNAcentral describes it as "bacterial SSU rRNA". It matches the Rfam family "Bacterial small subunit ribosomal RNA", at positions 20 to 518 of the family's 1533-position model. The record is from RNAcentral.